AGUGAACGCUGGCGGUAGGCCUAACACAUGCAAGUCGAACGGCAGCACAGUAAAAGCUUGCUCUUACGGGUGGCGAGUGGCGGACGGGUGAGGAAUACAUCGGAAUCUACUUUUUCGUGGGGGAUAACGUAGGGAAACUUACGCUAAUACCGCAUACGACCUACGGGUGAAAGCAGGGGAGCUUCGGACCUUGCGCGAUUGAAUGAGCCGAUGUCGGAUUAGCUAGUUGGCGGGGUAAAGGCCCACCAAGGCGACGAUCCGUAGCUGGUCUGAGAGGAUGAUCAGCCAAACUGGAACUGAGACACGGUCAAGACUCCUACGGGAGGCAGAAGUGGGGAAUAUUGGACAAUGGGCGCAAGCCUGAUCCAGCCAUACCGCGUGGGUGAAGAAGGCCUUCGGGUUGUAAAGCCCUUUUGUUGGGAAAGAAAAGCAGCAGGUUAAUACCCCGCUGUUCUGACGGUACCCAAAGAAUAAGCACCGGCUAACUGCGU
RNAcentral lists this ribosomal RNA (491 nucleotides) under uncultured bacterium. RNAcentral's name for it is "partial 16S ribosomal RNA". It matches the Rfam family "Bacterial small subunit ribosomal RNA", at positions 29 to 506 of the family's 1533-position model. The record is from RNAcentral.